Molecule: ribosomal RNA, 589 nt
Filed under: uncultured fungus
Lineage: Eukaryota; Fungi
Description: eukaryotic LSU rRNA
Rfam family: 5.8S ribosomal RNA (bases 225-378)
Source: RNAcentral
CUUGGUCAUUUAGAGGAAGUAAAAGUCGUAACAAGGUCUCCGUAGGUGAACCUGCGGAGGGAUCAUUACAAGUGACCCCGGCCUAACCACCGGGAUGUUCAUAACCCUUUGUUGUCCGACUCUGUUGCCUCCGGGGCGACCCUGCCUUCGGGCGGGGGCUCCGGGUGGACACUUCAAACUCUUGCGUAACUUUGCAGUCUGAGUAAACUUAAUUAAUAAAUUAAAACUUUUAACAACGGAUCUCUUGGUUCUGGCAUCGAUGAAGAACGCAGCGAAAUGCGAUAAGUAAUGUGAAUUGCAGAAUUCAGUGAAUCAUCGAAUCUUUGAACGCACAUUGCGCCCCCUGGUAUUCCGGGGGGCAUGCCUGUUCGAGCGUCAUUUCACCACUCAAGCCUCGCUUGGUAUUGGGCAACGCGGUCCGCCGCGUGCCUCAAAUCGACCGGCUGGGUCUUCUGUCCCCUAAGCGUUGUGGAAACUAUUCGCUAAAGGGUGUUCGGGAGGCUACGCCGUAAAACAACCCCAUUUCUAAGGUUGACCUCGGAUCAGGUAGGGAUACCCGCUGAACUUAAGCAUAUCAAUAAGCGGAGGA